This 202-nucleotide long non-coding RNA is filed under the name Elaeis guineensis (African oil palm). RNAcentral describes it as "long non-coding RNA (EGUI_LNC074058)". The record is from RNAcentral. Lineage: Eukaryota; Viridiplantae; Streptophyta; Magnoliopsida; Arecales; Arecaceae.
GGGGCUAAAAAUUUAAUUUAACCAUCCAAUUGAUUGGCUGGGGGUGUCUAUAGCUCCGUAUUAUUAAAUAAAAUAUGUAAAAAAAAAUUAAUUGAAAGAGUGUAUCGAAAGAUAUACUUCCGUACUGAAAUUUAAGUUUAAAAAGAAGAUCUAGAAGGUCAAAGUUCAGUCUAACCAUCCAAACAAUUGGCUGAGGGUAUCU